GGGGUUGUGGCUCAGUGGUAGAGCACUUGUCUAGCACAUGUGAGGCACUGGGUUCAAUCCUCAGCACCA
Molecule: transfer RNA, 69 nt
Filed under: Urocitellus parryii (Arctic ground squirrel)
Lineage: Eukaryota; Metazoa; Chordata; Mammalia; Rodentia; Sciuridae
Also listed under: 4 other names
Description: Spermophilus parryii (Arctic ground squirrel) tRNA
Rfam family: tRNA
About the family: Transfer RNA (tRNA) molecules are approximately 80 nucleotides in length.
Source: Rfam by way of RNAcentral